GAUGAACGCUGGCGGCGUGCCUAAUACAUGCAAGUCGAGCGAACGGACGAGAAGCUUGCUUCUCUGAUGUUAGCGGCGGACGGGUGAGUGACACGUGGAUAACCUACCUAUAAGACUGGGAUAACUUCGGGAAACCGGAGCUAAUACCGGAUGAUAUUUUGAACCGCAUGGUUCAAAAGUGAAAGACGGUCUUGCUGUCACUUAUAGAUGGAUCCGCGCUGCAUUAGCUAGUUGGUAAGGUAACGGCUUACCAAGGCAACGAUGCAUAGCCGACCUGAGAGGGUGAUCGGCCACACUGGAACUGAGACACGGUCCAGACUCCUACGGGAGGCAGCAGUAGGGAAUCUUCCGCAAUGGGCGAAAGCCUGACGGAGCAACGCCGCGUGAGUGAUGAAGGUCUUCGGAUCGUAAAACUCUUUUAUUAGGGAAGAACAUAUGUGGAAGUAACUGUGCACAUCUUGACGGUACCUAAUCAGAAAGCCACGGCUAACUACGUG
RNAcentral lists this ribosomal RNA (497 nucleotides) under uncultured bacterium. Its description in RNAcentral is "partial 16S ribosomal RNA". It matches the Rfam family "Bacterial small subunit ribosomal RNA", at positions 28 to 507 of the family's 1533-position model. The record is from RNAcentral.